This 697-nucleotide ribosomal RNA is filed under the name uncultured bacterium. Its description in RNAcentral is "bacterial SSU rRNA". It matches the Rfam family "Bacterial small subunit ribosomal RNA", at positions 36 to 765 of the family's 1533-position model. The record is from RNAcentral.
CUGGCGGCGCGCUUAACACAUGCAAGUCGAACGAGAAAGUGGAGCAAUCCAUGAGUACAGUGGCGUACGGGUGAGUAACACGUGGGGAUCUACCUUCGGGUGGGGGAUAACUCUGGGAAACCGGAGCUAAUACCGCAUAAGCAGGGAACUGGAAAGCCGAAAGGCGCCGGAAGAGGAGCCCGCGGCCGAUUAGCUAGUUGGUUGAGGUAACGGCUCACCAAGGCAAAGAUCGGUAGCCGGCCUGAGAGGGCACACGGCCACACUGGCACUGAAACACGGGCCAGACUCCUACGGGAGGCAGCAGUGGGGAAUCUUGCACAAUGGGGGCAACCCUGAUGCAGCGACGCCGCGUGAGCGAUGAAGCCCUUCGGGGUGUAAAGCUCUUUCGGCCGGAACGAUAAUGACGGUACCGGAGGAAGAAGCUGCGGCUAACUACGUGCCAGCAGCCGCGGUAAUACGUAGGCAGCAAGCGUUGUUCGGAGUUACUGGGCGUAAAGAGUGCGUAGGCGGUGUUCUAAGUUCGUUGUGAAAUCUCCCGGCUUAACUGGGAGGGUGCGGCGAGAACUGGGAUGCUGGAGUGUGGGAAAGGCAAGCGGAAUUCCUGGUGUAGCGGUGAAAUGCGUAGAUAUCAGGAGGAACACCGGCGGUGUAGACGGCUUGCUAGACCAUAACUGACGCUGAGGCACGAAAGCGUGGG